AGGGAAUCUUCCGCAAUGGACGCAAGUCUGACGGAGCAACGCCGCGUGAGUGAGGAAGGUCUUCGGAUCGUAAAGCUCUGUUGCCCUAGACGAAAGACUUCAGGAGUAACUGCCUGGAGAGUGACGGUAUAGGAGAAGAAAGCCCCGGCUAACUACGUGCCAGCAGCCGCGGUAAUACGUAGGGGGCAAGCGUUGUCCGGAAUUAUUGGGCGUAAAGCGCGCGCAGGCGGUGGCCUAAGUCUUCUGUUUAAGCCCGGGGCUCAACCCCGGGACGCAGAGGAAACUGGGAGACUUGAGUGCAGGAGAGGAAAGUGGAAUUCCACGUGUAGCGGUGAAAUGCGUAGAGAUGUGGAGGAACACCAGUGGCGAAGGCGACUUUCUGGCCUGUAACUGACGCUGAGGCGCGAAAGCGUGGGGAGCAAAC
RNAcentral lists this ribosomal RNA (424 nucleotides) under uncultured bacterium. Its description in RNAcentral is "bacterial SSU rRNA". It matches the Rfam family "Bacterial small subunit ribosomal RNA", at positions 356 to 773 of the family's 1533-position model. The record is from RNAcentral.